AUUGAACGCUGGCGGCAUGCUUUACACAUGCAAGUCGAACGGUAACAGGGAGCUUGCUCCGCUGACGAGUGGCGAACGGGUGAGUAAUGCGUCGGAACGUGCCGAGUAGUGGGGGAUAACGCAUCGAAAGGUGUGCUAAUACCGCAUACGUACUGAGGUAGAAAGUGGGGGACCUUCGGGCCUCACGCUAUUCGAGCGGCCGACGUCUGAUUAGCUAGUUGGUGAGGUAAAGGCUCACCAAGGCGACGAUCAGUAGCGGGUCUGAGAGGAUGAUCCGCCACACUGGGACUGAGACACGGCCCAGACUCCUACGGGAGGCAGCAGUGGGGAAUUUUGGACAAUGGGCGCAAGCCUGAUCCAGCCAUGCCGCGUGUCUGAAGAAGGCCUUCGGGUUGUAAAGGACUUUUGUCCGGGAGCAAAUGCCUGGUGUUAAUAGCAUCGGGAGCUGAGAGUACCGGAAGAAUAAGCACCGGCUAACUACGUGCCAGCAGCCGCCGUAA
RNAcentral lists this ribosomal RNA (500 nucleotides) under uncultured bacterium. Its description in RNAcentral is "partial 16S ribosomal RNA". It matches the Rfam family "Bacterial small subunit ribosomal RNA", at positions 30 to 523 of the family's 1533-position model. The record is from RNAcentral.